RNAcentral lists this ribosomal RNA (908 nucleotides) under Shigella flexneri. Its description in RNAcentral is "partial 23S ribosomal RNA". It matches the Rfam family "Bacterial large subunit ribosomal RNA", at positions 998 to 1890 of the family's 2925-position model. Lineage: Bacteria; Pseudomonadati; Pseudomonadota; Gammaproteobacteria; Enterobacterales; Enterobacteriaceae. The record is from RNAcentral.
CUAACGUCCGUCGUGAAGAGGGAAACAACCCAGACCGCCAGCUAAGGUCCCAAAGUCAUGGUUAAGUGGGAAACGAUGUGGGAAGGCCCAGACAGCCAGGAUGUUGGCUUAGAAGCAGCCAUCAUUUAAAGAAAGCGUAAUAGCUCACUGGUCGAGUCGGCCUGCGCGGAAGAUGUAACGGGGCUAAACCAUGCACCGAAGCUGCGGCAGCGACGCUUAUGCGUUGUUGGGUAGGGGAGCGUUCUGUAAGCCUGUGAAGGUGUGCUGUGAGGUAUGCUGGAGGUAUCAGAAGUGCGAAUGCUGACAUAAGUAACGAUAAAGCGGGUGAAAAGCCCGCUCGCCGGAAGACCAAGGGUUCCUGUCCAACGUUAAUCGGGGCAGGGUGAGUCGACCCCUAAGGCGAGGCCGAAAGGCGUAGUCGAUGGGAAACAGGUUAAUAUUCCUGUACUUGGUGUUACUGCGAAGGGGGGACGGAGAAGGCUAUGUUGGCCGGGCGACGGUUGUCCCGGUUUAAGCGUGUAGGCUGGUUUUCCAGGCAAAUCCGGAAAAUCAAGGCCGAGGCGUGAUGACGAGGCACUACGGUGCUGAAGCAACAAAUGCCCUGCUUCCAGGAAAAGCCUCUAAGCAUCAGGUAACAUCAAAUCGUACCCCAAACCGACACAGGUGGUCAGGUAGAGAAUACCAAGGCGCUUGAGAGAACUCGGGUGAAGGAACUAGGCAAAAUGGUGCCGUAACUUCGGGAGAAGGCACGCUGAUACGUAGGUGAAGCGACUUGCUCGUGGAGCUGAAAUCAGUCGAAGAUACCAGCUGGCUGCAACUGUUUAUUAAAAACACAGCACUGUGCAAACACGAAAGUGGACGUAUACGGUGUGACGCCUGCCCGGUGCCGGAAGGUUAAUUGAUGGGGU